This is a long non-coding RNA of Homo sapiens (human), 2295 nucleotides long. NCBI's taxonomy places the organism in Eukaryota, Metazoa, Chordata, Mammalia, Primates, Hominidae. The record is from Ensembl.
GUUUCCUAGUGGCCCCAGUGGAAUUCAUUCCAAGCGAGUGGGAGUUAUAAGGACGCGAAAGGACCAAGGCCACUAUUUGGGGAGUCUGACGAAGGAGUUGUAGCACUCCUGGAGGAAAGAAGGAAGUCAAGGCUUAGCAGCCGAGGUGGACCAGCUGGUGUUUUCACAAUCUGCAGAGACAUACAGGGAAGGACGAUGGGGGGACGACAUGGUGGAAAAUAUUCAAUGUCAUACCACGGAUGUACAGAAGAAGAAAGAAAUCCUAUUUGGAACUGAAGUCAGCCAGUUGGAAUUUUCAGAAGGAAAUCCUGGCAGCCCGCGGUGUUUGAGGCAUUACAUAAACAUCUGAUACUUGACUCAGUGAGAAGCGCCUUUCACCUUCUGCCUUCCACCAUGAUUGUGAGGCCUCCCCAGCCACGUGGAACUGAAAUUGUGAGCUCAACCUGGAAGACAGAGGAAGACAUGUUCUUACCUUUCUGCUGGAUGAGAAUACCAAGGGCCUGAACAGAAUGGCUGAAACCUAGCCUGGACUAUUCUUUGGAAGCCCCAUACCUGGUGGACUCAGUAUUCAAUGCUCUAUGCUCUGAGAAAUAGACAAUAUCAUACUGAAGUGUUCUGAUGUUUUUUUGGGGGAACCCAAUGAUUAGAUCUUAAAUUUGAAGGGAUGUAUUCCACUGCCAACCAGCUUGGGGUGAGAAGGACAGAUUGGAGUGGGAGACCACAGACUUUACUUGUGCCUCAGAGAACUAUGUCCUGGAUGUUGAGUGGAGGAGCUACCUUCCUGGGUAUUGCUGCUGUUGGGAGAGAGGCUGACUCUUACAACCUGGUGGCAUUCCAGGACCUUGGGAAUGAGAGUUCUACUCUUCAGGGGCCAAGUCUGUGCAUCUGAGAACAGCUACAGCUAGUCUAUAGAGGGAAGUUGUCAGCAUUGUCAUUCUCUUGUUAAUUCCAAGCCUUUCUCGAAGUCCAUCAAGCAUUAUAGUCUGGCCUGGCUUCCACUGUGGGGAAGAAUGGUGAAGAAGCAUGGCCACACCUGCGGUGAUUCAGGGAACAGCAGCAACUUAAGAGAAACAGUGGAGAGGCAGCUGCCACCUUCUUGACUGUAUCACUUGAAUUCCUGAUAGUAGACUGUAUUUUCCAAAGAUAGAGCAAUCUCUCCCCUCCCGCAGCCUCUUCCAACAUGUGACCUUGACAACCCUUUCAUUUAAUGAUGUGUUCCCUGUCUCCUAGCCUGGAGCCUAGGAAGAGCUUUGCAAUUGCCUCUGUCAGAGGCGUCUGAACCAGAGCAACUCCAUCUUGAAUAGGAGCUGGGUAAAAUGAGGCUGAGACCUACUGGGCUGCAUUCCCAGACAGGUGAGGCUGGAACUAGGCUCACCACGUGGACAGGCGUGAUCUGUGUACAUAUGAGCCAACACAUUUAGACGACUGGAUGCCUCCUCCACGUCUUCUUCUCUUGCCUGCCAACUGGGAGAAAACCGAAGAAGACUCCAGGAUCCUGGGAGAUACAGGUGGAGGCCACAGAUGGAAAAAAAACCAAGUCCUGGAUUCACUGUAUGGAAAAAAUAUGUGCAUUAACCAGGAACAUCUACAGUAGAUAAUUAGAGGAGAGGGUGAUGAUCCACGGAGACUUGGGGGGUUUAUUUGUUAGAGCAGCUAACGUUACCCUAACUAUUACAGAGUCAGAGGAAAUAAUGUAUAUAGAAUGAUAAGUCCAGUGUCUGGGAGAUAGCCAUGCUCAGUAAAUGUUUUUGUUUGUCCCUUUGAAUGAAUGGAGGGUAUCUACCUAUCUUCCACCUAUUCAGGAUCUCACAUGAGGCAGCACAUUUAGCACACUUGUGUAGUUGUAAUCUUCCAUGCUUAUCUUUGUGAGUCUGUUUGAAAAGUUGGAUAAAUAGCAAUGACUGACCACAUUUGCUUGUAUAAAGCACACGUCUCCUUUCAAAUUUCAUGUUAGUAUUGAUAUUUGUGCUGUAUAUUUAGCAUCAUUGAAAAAGGAGAACGAAUUUAUGAAAAAGACAUAAAUGUUCCCAUAGAAACACUCAUAUCCAGCCUGGGCAACAUAGUGAGACCCCGAGGUGAUUAUAUUGCUUGAGCUCAGGAGUUCAAGACCAGCCUGGGCAACACAGCAAGACCCUGUCUGUCUCUACAAAAAAUACAAACAUUAGCCAAGCAUGGUGGCCGGCAUGCCUCUAGUCUCAGCUACUCAGGUGACUGAGCUGGGAGGAUCCCUUGAGCCCAGGAGAUGGAGGCUGCAGUGAGCUAUGAUGGAGCUACUGUACUCUAGUCUGGGCAACA